GACGAACGCUGGCGGCGUGCUUAACACAUACAAGUCGAACGGAAAGGCCCUGCUUUUGUGGGGUGCUCGAGUGGCGAACGGGUGAGUAACACGUGAGUAACCUGCCCUUGACUUUGGGAUAACUUCAGGGAACUGGGGCUAAUACCGGAUAGGAGCUCCUUCUGCAUGGUGGGGGUUGGAAAGUUUCGGCGGUUGGGGAUGGACUCGCGGCUUAUCAGCUUGUUGGUGGGGUAGUGGCUUACCAAGGCUUUGACGGGUAGCCGGCCUGAGAGGGUGACCGGCCACAUUGGGACUGAGAUACGGCCCAGACUCCUACGGGAGGCAGCAGUGGGGAAUAUUGCACAAUGGGCGGAAGCCUGAUGCAGCAACGCCGCGUGCGGGAUGACGGCCUUCGGGUUGUAAACCGCUUUCGCCUGUGACGAAGCGUGAGUGACGGUAAUGGGUAAAGAAGCACCGGCUAACUACGUG
This 468-nucleotide ribosomal RNA is filed under the name uncultured bacterium. RNAcentral describes it as "partial 16S ribosomal RNA". It matches the Rfam family "Bacterial small subunit ribosomal RNA", at positions 28 to 507 of the family's 1533-position model. The record is from RNAcentral.